UUUGCGCAACUAAAUUGGCAUUGAGCUUAGUCUUGAUGUUCUUUUCUGUAACUGCGAUUCGUUUUGAGUCGUAAAGUAAGCGCCCUAAGCAUCCCCAAGGGCUGAACCUUUUCACUUGCAUUCUCUUUAACUCAGAACUGCAGGUUGAUUGCCUAAAAUAAAAUUGCCUGCUGGACAACCUGUCGCAUGGCCGUUUGGUUAUGUCCAGUUUGUUCCAAAUCAGGUCUUCGAUAAUUUUCUUGACAGCUCAAGUACUGCGCUGGUCCGGUUUUAACGGGUGGGAAUGUGGCUGUGCAGCGUCAAGUACCCGCGGCCCCCCUCUUCGUCCGAGCGGAUGGGAAUGUGGCUGUGCAGCGUCAAGUACCCGCGGCCCCCCUCUUCGUCCGAGCGGAAUUCCUUCUUUUCCUCUUCCCCUCAACUCUAUUGAAGGUUAAGAAGAUCGCACUGCUAUCGUUGGUUGCCGUCUGUAGGACGGAAAAGACCCUCCACAAAAAAUGGCCACCUCCCCGGGUCAUGGUUGGCUCUAAAGCGCAGGUACCUCACAGGCCAGAUACAAGCUAGUAGCACCAACGUGCCGCCAAAAGCCAGGUGGAGUAACAUACAUGGUCACAUCAUGGCCUUGUGGGACCUAACACUAGAUCGGACGAAGUGUUGUACGAAGUGUUAUCGCAGAUGUGGUGCACUUCACCAUUCCGCCGCGGUCCGGGCCACGCGAUAUCUAUGGUGAUGUCAUGAAGCUUUAAGCUGUACAAAAUACAUGAUUUCAGCCGCGUGUGAGUAUCACUGCAUACAGCCCAACUGCUUUCCACCCACUAAACAAGCCCAACUGUUCCCAAAUCACAAAACAACCUCAAGUGUUGUACUUUUACGGCGCCCUAAGUGGGCUAGGAAAAGUGAAGAAAUGAACAUGGGUCUGGACGACGCGUACAUACUGUUGGAUUGCCACCGCUGUGAAAUAACGUACGGUACACGCAUGGCCAUGGCAUGCAUAUGCCUGCAUGUGAAUCAUGUAACGCAGGCCUGUCAUUAAGUGCCAUGCAAGCGACGCAUUGCUUGGCAUGUGGCUACCUUCACAUGUUGAGCGGCCGGUAAACAGCAAACACCCCAGGAUUACAUGUUUCGUUCACAUGAAGGAUUUACGAUAGUUGCUGAAGUAAUGAGGGGUAGUGACUAUACAGGGCAUCCAUAAGGAAACCCCGGAAAUGCCGGCCUUGACGACCAGGGCAGACGGACAGGGUCCGCUGGACAGGUAGCCAUUCAGCACAUUCCGGGGGUCCCACUCCAGCUUAUGUGGGAAGUCUGCCAUCUAAGCAUGCCGAGUUGCUCACAUCACAAAAGUGAACGUUCCUCCUGACAUCCAUGCCUGUAGUACAAUGCUCAGCGCCGAGCGCAUCCCGCCGCACCAUCCGGCCGCUAUGUUCGUAUACAGAUGUGUGUUACAUGGUUGGGGGUGCGUGACCCCAUACCUGUAAAACUACCCAUACGAGCCGAAGGCCCAAGGGCAAUACUUCAACGCCUAAAAGCCACGGGGAACAGGAAACACCGCACAUCAGCCCAGAUUUCUAGCGUCCAAAAGGGGUAACUGAGUUUCGGUGAGCCCACAUACGUUAUGACAUCCUCGUAUACAUAUGUGGCACGCCAAGUUCUGCGACAGGAGAUCGCAGAGGCCCUCUCCAAUCCCGAAGCGGGCGGAUGGGGGCCACUAGUCCUCCGUUUUCUGAGCUUUCUGGGGCAGGAUGUACGGAAAGAGGCCCCGUAAGGGCUACAUGAGGCAGAUGAACGAGUGGAAGGGCUAAGGAACAGGCUGUUGCCAGAAGGUGUGGUAUUGAAGUUCAACGAUCGGUUGAUGAGUGGUUGGAAGCAUACGCGUCUAGAUGUCCAGCCAGACGUGUACCCGUCAGAUUUAAAGCAACCAGAAAUUCACAUGGCGCAGUAUAUGCAUU
RNAcentral lists this long non-coding RNA (1943 nucleotides) under Volvox carteri. RNAcentral's name for it is "long non-coding RNA (VCAR_LNC001037)". The record is from RNAcentral. Lineage: Eukaryota; Viridiplantae; Chlorophyta; Chlorophyceae; Chlamydomonadales; Volvocaceae.